GCCGGGGUGCCCGAGCGGUUAAGGGGCUGGCCUGGAGAGCCAGUGGGCUUCGCGCCCACGCGGGUUCGAAUCCCGCCCCCGGCG
This 84-nucleotide transfer RNA is filed under the name Desulfurococcaceae archaeon. Its description in RNAcentral is "tRNA-Ser". It matches the Rfam family "tRNA". From Rfam's summary of the family: Transfer RNA (tRNA) molecules are approximately 80 nucleotides in length. Lineage: Archaea; Thermoproteati; Thermoproteota; Thermoprotei; Desulfurococcales; Desulfurococcaceae. The record is from RNAcentral.